AGUUCGUGGAGGARCCUGCGUUCGAUUAGCUAGUUGGUGGCCUACUGGCCUAGGAAGGCGAUGAUCGAUAGCUGGUCUGAGAGGAUGAUCAGCCACACUGGGACUGAGACACGGCCCAGACUCCUACGGGAGGCAGCAGUGGCCAAUAUUGGACAAUGGGCGCGGGCCUGAUCCAGCAAUGCCGCGUGUGUGAAGCCGGUUUUCGGAUUGUAAAGCACUUUCAGCCAGGACGAUGAUGACGGUACCCGCAGAAGAAGCCCCGGCUAACUUCGUACCAGCAGCCGCGGUAAUACGAAGGGGGCAAGCGUUGCUCCGAAUGACUGGACGUAUUGGGCGCGUAGGCGGUUGACNCAGUCAGAUGUGAAAUUCCUGGGCUUAACCUGGGGGCUGCAUUUGAUACGUGGCGACUAGAGUGUGAGAGAGAAUUGUGGAAUUCCCAGUGUAGAGGUGAGGUUCGUAG
Molecule: ribosomal RNA, 460 nt
Filed under: Komagataeibacter europaeus
Lineage: Bacteria; Pseudomonadati; Pseudomonadota; Alphaproteobacteria; Acetobacterales; Acetobacteraceae
Description: bacterial SSU rRNA
Rfam family: Bacterial small subunit ribosomal RNA
Source: RNAcentral